Pocillopora verrucosa is the source of this 299-nucleotide non-coding RNA. NCBI's taxonomy places the organism in Eukaryota, Metazoa, Cnidaria, Anthozoa, Scleractinia, Pocilloporidae. The record is from RefSeq and is a predicted model, not a curated record.
GGCACGGGUUUAUCCCUUGUUUUGAUUUAGUAAUCGUUUAAUUAAUAAUCUGUAAAAGUCACACUAGGUGCCUCGUCACGCGUUCCGUAAGUGGUAUCGCAUUUCCAAACAGAACGGAUCUAUUGUGCAAUUCAAUAAUUCGAUCGAUUUCGCAAGCACUCGUGGUUUAAUAGAAAGAAAUUGUCUGUCGUUUUUAUCGAAGGAAGGAAAGGUCCUUUUGUGUCAACUCUCGCCAGAUCCGGCAACAAUCUUCACGGUCAAAUACGACAUUUAAUAAAGGAGGCGUUCCAUGAAAGAAA